This 555-nucleotide ribosomal RNA is filed under the name Aspergillus niger. RNAcentral's name for it is "eukaryotic LSU rRNA". The stretch from base 185 to 338 matches the Rfam family "5.8S ribosomal RNA". Lineage: Eukaryota; Fungi; Ascomycota; Eurotiomycetes; Eurotiales; Aspergillaceae. The record is from RNAcentral.
ACGACUGCGAGGUCUUUGGGCCACCUCCCAUCCGUGUCUAUUGUACCCUGUUGCUUCGGCGGGCCCGCCGCUUGUCGGCCGCCGGGGGGGCGCCUCUGCCCCCCGGGCCCGUGCCCGCCGGAGACCCCAACACGAACACUGUCUGAAAGCGUGCAGUCUGAGUUGAUUGAAUGCAAUCAGUUAAAACUUUCAACAAUGGAUCUCUUGGUUCCGGCAUCGAUGAAGAACGCAGCGAAAUGCGAUAACUAAUGUGAAUUGCAGAAUUCAGUGAAUCAUCGAGUCUUUGAACGCACAUUGCGCCCCCUGGUAUUCCGGGGGGCAUGCCUGUCCGAGCGUCAUUGCUGCCCUCAAGCCCGGCUUGUGUGUUGGGUCGCCGUCCCCCUCUCCGGGGGGACGGGCCCGAAAGGCAGCGGCGGCACCGCGUCCGAUCCUCGAGCGUAUGGGGCUUUGUCACAUGCUCUGUAGGAUUGGCCGGCGCCUGCCGACGUUUUCCAACCAUUCUUUCCAGGUUGACCUCGGAUCAGGUAGGGAUACCCGCUGAACUUAAGCAUAUCA